UUUUCUUUCUAGAGUCGCAUCUGUCACAACACAACCACAGCCAGUUUAUUUACGUGCUCUGCAUUUAUUGAGUUGCCUUGGUUACUGGUUACGCAGUGUACCGUACACUUGUGUUGGACUACAUUUCUCUAAAGUUAAUUAACUGUUAAGACCCACAGAUGGAUUUCCUUUUCAAAGGGCUUCUGCUGGGGACUGCAGUGGUGGUGGCGGCUGUGACGGUCGCCUACGAGUUGUGGCAGUAUCGGAACGUGCCCAGGCAGUAUCAAGCACACGGCGAGCGGAGGCGUAGAGACGACUAACAAAAUCCACUGGUUGGAUCACGAUGUCUUCUCUCUCGCACCUCAAGCAAGCAAAAUGUUUUGAUUAUUAUUUUAAGUCUUAGAUAUUAUUGCACUUUAUAUUCAAUGUGUUUAUUUCUCAUAAUACUGGUUACAGACAUGUGUCAAGAAGAGUUCUUCACAAAAACAUUGAUGUUGUAUAAUGAGGGUUUUCGCGAAUGAAAGAUCCGCUAGAUGGCGGGACGUGGAUGUGGG
This is a long non-coding RNA of Ostrinia furnacalis (Asian corn borer), 533 nucleotides long. RefSeq lists it as uncharacterized. The record is from RefSeq and is a predicted model, not a curated record. NCBI's taxonomy places the organism in Eukaryota, Metazoa, Arthropoda, Insecta, Lepidoptera, Crambidae. The transcript has 3 exons.